GGCUGCACCUGCAGCAUAUGGAAGUUCCCAGGCUAGGGGUUGAAUCAGAGCUGCAGUUGCCAACCUACACCACAGCCCAGGCAAUGCCAAAUCCUUUAACCCACUGAGCAAGGCCAGGGACAGAACCUGUGUUCUCAUGGAUUCAUUUCCACUGAGCCACAACGGGAACUCCCUUCCAUAUUGUCUUUUUAAAAUAAGAUUUGUUAACAACAAAACCAAUGUGUGUAUUAUUUUAUACAUCUUACAGUUAGAAAAUGGAUGCGAAAAGACACCAUGCUUACAGAAUCCACAUGCUACUUUAACAGACAAAACCUUAAAGACAUCUAUUUUAAAUGACAGCUCUUACUGUGAGAGAUUUGCUUCAUAUUCUACCUAUUAUUCCUGGACAUACACAGGCUUCCGAGGGUCUUAUGUUCGUCUGUUUGUUCACUUUAGUUUUAUUUUUCUUUUUAGAUCUCCUGCCCAUGUGUAAUGAAAGAACAGAGAAAAUACCAUGGGGUAGAGAGUAGGAUACAGAUGGCACACAGGUGAUGCCCCAGAAGCUACAUGCCCUGAAAACUGAAGUCAAGUUGUAGUGAGGAUAAUUUUCUAGCAAUAGCAUGACUCCAUGCAUUUGGCCCUCCAUGCAUUUACUUCAUUUGGUCCAUGGGUGAACUUGUCACAUUACAUUUAUAAGAAGCAAUAAACCUUUCUGCUUCCAGUACUUCCUGGACCUCCAGUGAGCUCCUACUAGCAACAUUCUGUGUCCAAGUAAUGUUUUUCCUACCUGCAUCCAAACCUGAUUGUCAAAGACACAAAAUACAAUAUCUUUUGGUCCCUCUUUUGCUGAGCUAGCAGCAUGGCAUCUAGCAGACACUUGCAAGUUUGAGAACUGUUAUGAAAUUCAGUUGAAUUAUACCCACCAGCCCCAUCUCAAAUUCAUAUGUUGAAGUCUAACCCCAGUAGCUCAGAAUGUGAUGGUAUUUGGAGAAAGGAUCUUCACAGAGCUAAGCAAGUUAAAACGAGGAUAUAAGUUGGGCCCUAAUCCACUAUGACUGUCAUCAUUUAGUCAUUUGCUUCUUAUGCUCAUUUAAUAAAUAAUUGAGACUGACCUGAAAAGGCUUUCAGAUCUACCAUUAGAAAUCCCUCACUCUGGCUACCAAGCAGUCUUUCAGCUGUUUUAUUUUAUUUUUUAUUUAAAAAAAAUAUUUUUGGCCACACUCAUGGCAUGAGGACAUUUUGGCCUAGAGAUCAAACCCAUGCCAUAGCACUAACCAGAGCCACGGGAGACCAUAUUGGAUCCUUAACCAGGGAAUUCCUACUGAGCAGUCUUUAAACAAGAAAUUCUAAUUUUUUUUUUUUUUUGUUCAAAGUCUGCCUCAGAUUAAAUCCAUUCUAAUUUCUGCCUUGAGUAAGAAAAUUUCACUUUUGUUUGUCCCGUCAAGGUGUAGAACUUUUUUUCCUACAGACUAACAUUAGCCCAGCAAGUCAUCACCCUAUACAAUAAGAUCAAGAUUUCAAUGACAUUUUCUUCUGGGUCCAAAAGUUUCAGAUGCGAGUUAUACAUCAUUUUAUUGUUCACUUACUACAUCAAAAUGCAUAGCAAAUAUAUGCUUCCCUUUAUAUGACACAUGCAUGUCCAUGGGCCAUAUGUACACACACUACACACAUACAUCAGUCACAUUUUCCCAUUUCACAAAGUGUAGCCAUGUACCCAGAACUGGCCCAUCCUAGGGGUCACAGGUAGAACUCUCACCUGGAGUGGGAGGGAAGAGGGAAAGGAACUUAACAUGUAUUUACCAGCUACUGUACAUACGUAAAGUUAAGACAUAUAAUUAAUAUAACAAUGCUGUGAGGUAUGUACCAUUAUGUUUUACAGAUAAAACAAAAUGAACUAAGAGUGCUAAUAGUCAUUCACAUUUAAAUGUCCUGGCCAAGAUAGACACUUUUCUUUUCCCCCAAGUGUUCAGUGCAGUCCCACCAUAUGUAUGCACAUAUAUCCAGGCUUUUUCUUUAAUCAGAAGAAACUUCUAAAAGGCCCAGAAAAAGAAGUCCCAUUCAGUCCUUCUGAUCACAGCAAAGUUUCCUCCUUGCAAGUUUCCAUAGCAGGGCCAGGAGCACCUGGAGGCAGGCGAUCUUUUCUCCCUACCUGUCAAGACUCAGCUUACAUGCCAUCCAUCUCACAGGCCCAGGGAGUAUUUAAUGGGGCCGAUUUGGAUCAGUGGAGAUUGGUGUUUAGGCCGUUCUCCAAGACCUCGAGAAUGGCUGGGAAACAUGCCGAUUUUUGGCAAGGGGUCCAGUGCUUAUUGAGGUUUUAUGUUUAAAUAAACCUAACAUUUUUUGUUAUUGCUGUUGUUGCCUGUUGUUGAAAGCUCUUUCAAUUAUUCAAAUCAAAUCAAUCAGAAUUUAUCAAGCACCUAUUCUGUGCCAGACACAGCAGGAGUGUAAAAAGAUCACGAAGACAGUGCUCCAGAAACUUGAGGAACUAGGAGGAUGCAAUACACCCACAAACAAUGCUAAGAGGCAAAGACAGGAACGAUGAAAGGAGUCCAGAUAAACAGCGACAGGAAUUCAGACAAAGGAGACAUUAUUUCUGGUUGGAAAAAAGACACCAUGGAUAGGGAGCUAGCAUGAGAUCCAAACCUUUAGCAAUUCAGUCAUCCAUUCAAAAAGUGUUUAGUGAUCAGCUACCACGUGCCAGGCAUGUGCUAAGAACUAGAGAUAUAAGAGGGACAUAAUCCCUGCCCUCAAAGUAUCUGCAGUCUAGCGAUUAAUGAGACAAUGAGCAAGUAAACUAAUUAAUUAAUUAUAGCUUGUUAUGGGCACUAAGAAUUUAAUGAGCAGAAUGCACUGAUAGUACUAACCAGGGUAGGUGGUGGGGUAGGGUACCUACUUUGGCAAAGUGGGUAGGGAAGGUCUUUCUACAGAGAUGAUUUUUA
RNAcentral lists this long non-coding RNA (2918 nucleotides) under Sus scrofa (pig). RNAcentral describes it as "lncRNA (ENSSSCG00035055806.1)". Lineage: Eukaryota; Metazoa; Chordata; Mammalia; Artiodactyla; Suidae. The record is from RNAcentral.